Molecule: ribosomal RNA, 373 nt
Filed under: uncultured bacterium
Lineage: Bacteria
Description: bacterial SSU rRNA
Rfam family: Bacterial small subunit ribosomal RNA
Source: RNAcentral
UACAGAGGUGGCGAGCGUUACUCGGAUUUAUUGGGUGUAAAGGGCAAGUAGGCGUCUUGACAAGUUAGGGGUGAAAUCCUGCAGCUCAACUGCAGAACUGCUCUUAAAACUGUUGAGAUUGAGACUGGAAGAGGAAAGCGGAAUUCUCGGUGUAAGAGUGAAAUCUGUAGAUAUCGAGAGGAACACCAGUGGCGAAGGCGGCUUUCUGGUCCAGUACUGACGCUGAGUUGCGAAAGCUAGGGGAGCAAACAGGAUUAGAUACCCUGGUAGUCCUAGCCGUAAACUAUGAGCACUAGGUGUUGGGGGUUUACUCUCAGCGCCGCAAGUUAACACGUUAAGUGCUCCACCUGGGGACUACGACCGCAAGGUUAAA